Molecule: unclassified non-coding RNA, 588 nt
Filed under: Hevea brasiliensis (rubber tree)
Lineage: Eukaryota; Viridiplantae; Streptophyta; Magnoliopsida; Malpighiales; Euphorbiaceae
Source: RNAcentral
UCCUAGCUAAUUAAUUCAAUGCAAUCACAAAUAGCCCGUGGAUAUUUGCUUUUGAAUAAUGUUACUGUUAUAUGGAGUGUUGUAUCACAGAAUUAUUUUCAAAUGAGCAAUAAUGCACAGAUAUAUGAGAUACAAAACAAGGUUUACAAUAUGAAACAAGAUGAAAUGACCAUUGCUCAGUACUUUGCUGAAUUAAGUGAUUUAUGGCAGAAACUGGACUAUUACCAAGACUUUUAGGCUACCUGUACUGCUGAUGAGGUUAAAUUUAAAAAAUUGAUAGAAUAAAAAUGAAUGUACGACUUCCUUGCUGGGUUAAAUCUAGAGCACGAUCAUAUCCAGGUCCAAAUGCUUGGAAAGAAUCCCAUGCAUUCCCUAAGGCAAACAUUCAUUUGUGCAGUAGGUGGAAAGCUGAAGAAGUAUCAUGAUUCACUCUAUGUCCACAGACAAGGCAGGAUUAGUAGUUGCUUUCUCUCAUAAUGGUCCAUCAGAUAUCCUAGCAUACAAAGGAAUAUUAUUGGAAGCUACAUGAUCGCUUAUCCAAAGGGUGUGGAGGAAAAUGGACAUGCUCAACAAGACCACAAGCAAAUG